This 1411-nucleotide small RNA is filed under the name Pongo abelii (Sumatran orangutan). Its description in RNAcentral is "processed transcript". The record is from RNAcentral. Lineage: Eukaryota; Metazoa; Chordata; Mammalia; Primates; Hominidae.
GUGUGCUGGAGACAGGCCAGCUGGGGCCUGCAGCGCUCUGUCGCUCUGUGAUGUGGACAUGGGUGUGGUACUUAAUUAUGGCCUCAGUGCUUCAAGCCUCAGUUUCCUCGGUGGACCACAGCCGCUUUGUCAACUGUGUGCGAUUCUCUCCUGAUGGGAACAGAUUUGCCACAGCCAGUGCUGACGGCCAGAUAUACAUCUAUGACGGGAAGACUGGGGAGAAGGUGUGCGCGCUGGGCGGAAGCAAGGCCCACGACGGUGGGAUUUACGCCAUUAGUUGGAGUCCCGACAGCACCCAUUUGCUUUCUGCUUCUGGGGACAAAACUUCCAAGAUUUGGGACGUCAACGUGAACUCCGUGGUCAGCACAUUUCCCAUGGGCUCCACGGUUCUGGACCAGCAGCUGGGCUGCCUAUGGCAGAAGGACCACCUGCUCAGUGUCUCCCUUUCCGGGUACAUCAACUAUCUGGACAGAAACAACCCCAGCAAGCCCCUGCGCGUUGUCAAGGGUCACAGUAAGUCGAUCCAGUGUCUGGCGGUGCAUAAAAACGGCGGCAAGUCCCACAUUUACUCUGGGAGCCACGACGGGCACAUUAAUUACUGGGAUUCAGAGACAGGGGAGAAUGACUCCUUCGCUGGGAAAGGCCACACGAACCAGGUGUCCAGGAUGACCGUGGACGAGUCGGGGCAGCUCAUCAGCUGCAGCAUGGACGACACCGUGCGGUACACCAGCCUCAUGCUGCGGGACUACAGCGGACAAGGAGUUGUGAAACUGGACAUUCAGCCAAAGUGCGUAGCUGUCGGCCCCGGGGGAUACGCUGUGGUCGUGUGCAUUGGACAGAUUGUCCUGCUGAAGGAUCAGAGGAAGUGCUUCAGCAUCGACAACCCCGGCUACGAGCCUGAAGUUGUGGCAGUGCACCCCGGCGGGGACACGGUGGCGGUUGGGGGUGCGGAUGGCAACGUCCGCCUGUACUCCAUCCUGGGCACCACACUGAAGGAUGAGGGCAAGCUCCUAGAGGCCAAGGGCCCCGUGACCGACGUGGCCUACUCCCACGACGGCGCCUUCCUUGCAGUGUGCGACGCCAGCAAGGUGGUCACAGUGUUCAGCGUCGCUGACGGCUACUCGGAGAACAAUGUUUUUUAUGGACACCAUGCAAAAAUCGUCUGCCUGGCCUGGUCCCCAGACAAUGAACACUUUGCCUCCGGUGGCAUGGACAUGAUGGUGUAUGUUUGGACCCUGAGUGACCCGGAAACCAGAGUCAAGAUCCAAGAUGCACACCGGCUGCACCAUGUCAGCAGCCUGGCCUGGCUGGACGAGCACACGCUGGUCACAACCUCCCAUGACGCCUCUGUCAAGGAGUGGACAAUCACCUACUGAGGAGCCCCACCCCCGCCUCGGGAUGGACCGAAUCA